GGGGUGGGGGGGGUCUGUACUUGAGAUCUGAGCCUUUAGUACCUAGGAGGAGGGUGCCUUAAGGAGCUGUAGCUACAGGCUCACUGGAACCUCGAGGAAGUGAGGCGACUCGGCCAAACCCCGCCUGAUGGUGUCUUCCCUCUUGGCUGGACCCGAUGCCCCGAGCAGCCGAUGGGAGACCCCCGCCCGGCUCUCAGGCAAUGAAAUUUUGUUCUUCUGUGCUGAUCUUUCUGCUGAUGUAUUAUGACAUAGUCUGUCAACAUGAACAGAUAUGUGAAAGGAGAUUGGGUGACUGAGACAUACAACCUGAAUCUGGCUCUUCUUGAAUUUUAAGCAUGUUAUCAUGUUUGGCUACAGCAAAGGUGAAGAAAUAAAACUAAGAAGGUUACAUCUACACAGAUCAGCUUCUAUUUGUAAAACUCGAAGGUCUACUCCAUUUCUUUUUAUAACUGGAUUGACUCACUAUGGGCUUCAUCUGAAGAAUAUGGCUGAUUCACCCCAAACUUAUCAGGUUGGUGAAAGGUCCUAUAUGGUUUGAUUGAGGAACAAAGAAGAGUCAUUAUUCCUAUAAACAUUUCCUAAGACCAAGCAUGGACCACAUAUUAUCAGCAAUCAUUUAGAAUUCAGUCCAAGGCUGUUUCACUUGUGGAGUGAUUCCCAACCCUGUUUUUGUGAGACCUGAGGGUUUCCUUUUCCAUUAAAAGCUUUUAAAACAUCUUCACUAGAAAUUAAAGGUUAUAUAAGUCUUCU
RNAcentral lists this long non-coding RNA (750 nucleotides) under Phascolarctos cinereus (koala). Its description in RNAcentral is "lncRNA (ENSPCIG00000028884.2)". The record is from RNAcentral. Lineage: Eukaryota; Metazoa; Chordata; Mammalia; Diprotodontia; Phascolarctidae.